AUGGUUGCCGAAUCCUUCCUUCUUGAGGAAACAAGAAAAUUGCAGCAUGCGAUCACAUGCAGAGUAUCACGGGCGGGGCAGCAGAGGGACGGUGCACCGCGCGCGCACACACUGGCCAAGACGUCCAUCCCCACCUUUCUCUCAUCACUGCGCCCUACUUACUCGGUUACUCCUUCCACUCCACUGCUAGUGAGCUCCGAUGCGUCCGUCCGUCCGUCCGUCCGUCCGUCGAGAUCCAGGAUGAUCCCGGCCGGUGCUGCAGCUGCUGCUGGUGGAGCGGCAGGGAUGAUGCGCAUCCGCGAGGUCGCACGGGCGCACAUCGUCCUCGGGUGGGCCACCGCCCUCCUCGCCGUCCUCGCCCUCAACCUCCCGCCACAGCUUCAGGGGACGUGCAGGACCACCGAGGAUGAGGUGGCGCACAUGCGCGUCGACGCGCUGCUGCUGCUGCUGUCCAGCGCCGCCCAGGCCGCGGCGGCCACGGUGGCCGCCUUCGCGUUGGAGGACUGGCGCACGGGAGUGCCCUGGAGCUUCGCUGUCUUCGCCCAUGGGAUGGGUGUCGCCACCUUCUACCGCCUCGACAACGUCGUCUUCUUGGUGGCGCGCGUCACCGUCGGGAGCUGCCCCAGCAGCCAUGUGCUCGUCCACGGGAACCCCCUGGUAGCCCACUUCAUUCUGCUCGCGGUGCCCCUCGGUCUCUUCUUCCUGUUCGGCGUCUGCAAGUUGAUCUCCGCACUGGUAUACCCUUAG
Molecule: ribosomal RNA, 747 nt
Filed under: Triticum aestivum (bread wheat)
Lineage: Eukaryota; Viridiplantae; Streptophyta; Magnoliopsida; Poales; Poaceae
Description: partial small subunit ribosomal RNA
Source: RNAcentral